GUGAAUCAUCAAAUUUUUGAACGCAAAUUGCACUCUCCUCGGAGAGUAUGCCUGUUUGAGGGUCAGCCUAUAAAAAAUCGACAUCGUUGCUGUUUCGCGGUGACGUUCGUCGGAAAUUGGGGCAUCUUAAAUCCUUUUGGUUUUAAGCGACUUAAAAUUUUCUUUUUGGUUCUAUGAACGUUGCUAAGAUUUAUUUCUUUACACGUUUAAGGUAUCGAUUUUUAUUAGACGGGACCAUCAGUUCGGAUCGCGUCGAUAAUCUGUGAUUAACUGACAU
This 277-nucleotide unclassified non-coding RNA is filed under the name Glomus sp. Its description in RNAcentral is "partial contains 5.8S ribosomal RNA and internal transcribed spacer 2". The stretch from base 1 to 65 matches the Rfam family "5.8S ribosomal RNA", at positions 84 to 154 of the family's 154-position model. The record is from RNAcentral. Lineage: Eukaryota; Fungi; Glomeromycota; Glomeromycetes; Glomerales; Glomeraceae.